Molecule: ribosomal RNA, 435 nt
Filed under: uncultured Lachnospiraceae bacterium
Lineage: Bacteria; Bacillati; Bacillota; Clostridia; Lachnospirales; Lachnospiraceae
Description: bacterial SSU rRNA
Rfam family: Bacterial small subunit ribosomal RNA
Source: RNAcentral
ACGGAAGGCAGCAGUGGGGAAUAUUGCACAAUGGAGGGAACUCUGAUGCAGCGACGCCGCGUGAGUGAUGAAGUAUUUCGGUAUGUAAAGCUCUAUCAGCAGGGAAGACAAUGACGGUACCUGACUAAGAAGCACCGGCUAAAUACGUGCCAGCAGCCGCGGUAAUACGUAUGGUGCAAGCGUUAUCCGGAUUUACUGGGUGUAAAGGGAGUGUAGGUGGUUUGGCAAGCCAGAAGUGAAAACCCGGGGCUCAACCCCGUGGAUUGCUUUUGGAACUGUUGAACUAGAGUGCAGGAGGGGUAAGUGGAAUUCCCAGUGUAGCGGUGAAAUGCGUAGAUAUUGGGAGGAACACCAGUGGCGAAGGCGGCUUACUGGACUGUAACUGACACUGAGGCUCGAAAGCGUGGGGAGCAAACAGGAUUAGAUACCCUGGUA